Long non-coding RNA from Ixodes scapularis (black-legged tick), 531 nucleotides. RefSeq lists it as uncharacterized. Lineage: Eukaryota; Metazoa; Arthropoda; Arachnida; Ixodida; Ixodidae. The transcript is spliced from 5 exons. The record is from RefSeq and is a predicted model, not a curated record.
CUGCUUUCGGUUAUUGCUGGAACCGCCGGAACUGCUACCGGAGACACUUCCACGUGUGGACGCAAUUAAAGGCUUGGCUCUCAGCGGAGAAGACGAAUACAGUCUCACACAGCGUGAGGCCUUGUUAGUCACGAAGUGGACCAAACCGAACCCCGACAGACAGCAAAUGUGCUGCAGGCUUGAGUUGUCGCAUUCCGCAAGGGUCAAGCUUGUGCAAGUUAAAAAUUGCUGGAGCUAUAGACAAGUAUCCCUAUCUCAGGGACAUUGAAUGGGGGACAAAAGGUACAUCUGGAACACACAAAAGGAAUUCCCGGAAAGACUUCCUUGAGGAUUUCAAGCAACUUCUGAAGAAAGAUGGGAAUGAAGCGGUCGAGGCGGCGUUUAAUAAGAUUGUGAAACUUGCUCUAAGAGGAGACCAAGGGGGCUACAAAAAAAGACCUGAAGCCUUUACUUGAAGUUGAUCCGCCAGGAACCGGUGCAAGACGCAAGAAACACGUUCAGGUCGUACGUGCUGUGGAACUCCUGGCAAGA